This is a non-coding RNA of Tetraodon nigroviridis (spotted green pufferfish), 45 nucleotides long. The record is from Rfam. NCBI's taxonomy places the organism in Eukaryota, Metazoa, Chordata, Actinopteri, Tetraodontiformes, Tetraodontidae.
CUAAAGGCUCUUUUAAGAGCCACCCACAUUCAACAGAGCAAUAUU